RNAcentral lists this ribosomal RNA (206 nucleotides) under uncultured bacterium. Its description in RNAcentral is "partial 16S ribosomal RNA". It matches the Rfam family "Bacterial small subunit ribosomal RNA", at positions 568 to 774 of the family's 1533-position model. The record is from RNAcentral.
UGCGUAGGCGGCGCGGUAAGUCGGGUGUGAAAUCUCGGGGCUUAACUCCGAAACUGCAUUCGAUACUGCCGUGCUUGAGGACUGGAGAGGAGACUGGAAUUUACGGUGUAGCAGUGAAAUGCGUUGAUAUCGUAAGGAAGACCAGUGGCGAAGGCGGGCCUCUGGACAGUUCCUGACGCUGAGACACGAAGGCCAGGGAGCAAACG